RNAcentral lists this ribosomal RNA (504 nucleotides) under uncultured bacterium. Its description in RNAcentral is "partial 16S ribosomal RNA". It matches the Rfam family "Bacterial small subunit ribosomal RNA", at positions 29 to 523 of the family's 1533-position model. The record is from RNAcentral.
AUUGAACGCUGGCGGCACGCUUAACACAUGCAAGUCGAACGGCAGCGGGGGGAGCUUGCUCCCCGCCGGCGAGUGGCGAACGGGUGAGUAACGCGUAGGGAUCUGCCUGUUAGAGGGGGAUAAGCCGUGGAAACGCGGUCUAAUACCGCAUACGCUCUAAGGAGGAAAGUAUGGGACCGAAAGGCCAUACGCUAACAGAUGAACCUGCGUUAGAUUAGCUAGUUGGUAGGGUAAAGGCCUACCAAGGCGACGAUCUAUAGCUGGUCUGAGAGGAUGACCAGCCACACUGGAACUGAGAUACGGACCAGACUCCUACGGGAGGCAGCAGUGGGGAAUAUUGGACAACGGGGGCAACCCUGAUCCAGCGAUGCCGCGUGUGUGAAGAAGGCCUGAGGGUUGUAAAGCACUUUAGUUGGGGAGGAAAGCCUGAGGAUGAAUAAGCCUUAGGGGAGACGUUACCCAAAGAAUAAGCACCGGCUAACUCUGUGCCAGCAGCCGCGGUAA